GACGAACGCUGGCGGCGUGCUUAACACAUGCAAGUCGAACGGAAAGGCCCUGCUUUUGUGGGGUGCUCGAGUGGCGAACGGGUGAGUAACACGUGAGUAACCUGCCCUUGACUUUGGGAUAACUUCAGGAAACUGGGGCUAAUACCGGAUAGGAGCUCCUGCUGCAUGGUGGGGGUUGGAAAGUUUCGGCGGUUGGGGAUGGACUCGCGGCUUAUCAGCUUGUUGGGGGGGUAGUGGCUUACCAAGGCUUUGACGGGUAGCCGGCCUGAGAGGGUGACCGGCCACCUUGGGACUGAGAGACGGCCCAGACUCCUACGGGAGGCAGCAGUGGGGAAUAUUGCACAAUGGGCGGAAGCCUGAUGCAGCAACGCCGCGUGCGGGAUGACGGCCUUCGGGGUGUAAACCGCUUUCGCCUGUGACGAAGCGUGAGUGACGGUAAUGGGUAAAGAAGCACCGGCUAACUACGUG
This 468-nucleotide ribosomal RNA is filed under the name uncultured bacterium. Its description in RNAcentral is "partial 16S ribosomal RNA". It matches the Rfam family "Bacterial small subunit ribosomal RNA", at positions 28 to 507 of the family's 1533-position model. The record is from RNAcentral.